Molecule: ribosomal RNA, 571 nt
Filed under: Collariella bostrychodes
Lineage: Eukaryota; Fungi; Ascomycota; Sordariomycetes; Sordariales; Chaetomiaceae
Description: eukaryotic LSU rRNA
Rfam family: Eukaryotic large subunit ribosomal RNA
Source: RNAcentral
CCCAUAGCGGAGGAAAAGAAACCAACAGGGAUUGCCCUAGUAACGGCGAGUGAAGCGGCAACAGCUCAAAUUUGAAAUCUGGCUUCGGCCCGAGUUGUAAUUUGUAGAGGAAGCUUUAGGCGCGGCACCUUCUGAGUCCCCUGGAACGGGGCGCCAUAGAGGGUGAGAGCCCCGUAUAGUUGGAUGCCUAGCCUGUGUAAAGCUCCUUCGACGAGUCGAGUAGUUUGGGAAUGCUGCUCAAAAUGGGAGGUAAAUUUCUUCUAAAGCUAAAUAUUGGCCAGAGACCGAUAGCGCACAAGUAGAGUGAUCGAAAGAUGAAAAGCACUUUGAAAAGAGGGUUAAAUAGCACGUGAAAUUGUUGAAAGGGAAGCGCUUGUGACCAGACUUGCGCCGGGCGGAUCAUCCGGUGUUCUCACCGGUGCACUCCGCCCGGCUCAGGCCAGCAUCGGUUCUCGUGGGGGGAUAAAGGCCCUGGGAACGUAGCUCCUCCGGGAGUGUUAUAGCCCAGGGUGUAAUGCCCUCGCGGGGACCGAGGUUCGCGCAUCUGCAAGGAUGCUGCUAGACGAGGAUU